Molecule: ribosomal RNA, 543 nt
Filed under: Botryosphaeria dothidea
Lineage: Eukaryota; Fungi; Ascomycota; Dothideomycetes; Botryosphaeriales; Botryosphaeriaceae
Description: eukaryotic LSU rRNA
Rfam family: 5.8S ribosomal RNA (bases 191-344)
Source: RNAcentral
AAGGAUCAUUACCGAGUUGAUUCGGGCUCCGGCCCGAUCCUCCCACCCUUUGUGUACCUACCUCUGUUGCUUUGGCGGGCCGCGGUCCUCCGCGGCCGCCCCCCUCCCCGGGGGGUGGCCAGCGCCCGCCAGAGGACCAUCAAACUCCAGUCAGUAAACGAUGCAGUCUGAAAAACAUUUAAUAAACUAAAACUUUCAACAACGGAUCUCUUGGUUCUGGCAUCGAUGAAGAACGCAGCGAAAUGCGAUAAGUAAUGUGAAUUGCAGAAUUCAGUGAAUCAUCGAAUCUUUGAACGCACAUUGCGCCCUUUGGUAUUCCGAAGGGCAUGCCUGUUCGAGCGUCAUUACAACCCUCAAGCUCUGCUUGGUAUUGGGCACCGUCCUUUGCGGGCGCGCCUCAAAGACCUCGGCGGUGGCGUCUUGCCUCAAGCGUAGUAGAACAUACAUCUCGCUUCGGAGCGCAGGGCGUCGCCCGCCGGACGAACCUUCUGAACUUUUCUCAAGGUUGACCUCGGAUCAGGUAGGGAUACCCGCUGAACUUAA